RNAcentral lists this ribosomal RNA (681 nucleotides) under uncultured bacterium. Its description in RNAcentral is "bacterial SSU rRNA". It matches the Rfam family "Bacterial small subunit ribosomal RNA", at positions 94 to 792 of the family's 1533-position model. The record is from RNAcentral.
AGUGGCGGACGGGUGAGUAACGCGUGGGUAACCUGCCUCAUACAGGGGGAUAACAGUUAGAAAUGACUGCUAAUACCGCAUAAGCGCACAAAACCGCAUGGUUUGGUGUGAAAAACUGAGGUGGUAUGAGAUGGACCCGCGUCUGAUUAGCUAGUUGGAGAGGUAACGGCUCACCAAGGCAACGAUCAGUAGCCGACCUGAGAGGGUGACCGGCCACAUUGGGACUGAGACACGGCCCAAACUCCUACGGGAGGCAGCAGUGGGGAAUAUUGCACAAUGGGGGAAACCCUGAUGCAGCAACGCCGCGUGGGUGAAGAAGUAUUUCGGUAUGUAAAGCCCUAUCAGCAGGGAAGAAGAGAGACGGUACCUGACUAAGAAGCCCCGGCUAACUACGUGCCAGCAGCCGCGGUAAUACGUAGGGGGCAAGCGUUAUCCGGAUUUACUGGGUGUAAAGGGAGCGUAGACGGCUUGAUAAGUCUGAAGUGAAAGGCCAAGGCUUAACCAUGGAACUGCUUUGGAAACUAUGAGGCUAGAGUGCUGGAGAGGUAAGCGGAAUUCCUAGUGUAGCGGUGAAAUGCGUAGAUUUUAGGAGGAACACCAGUGGCGAAGGCGGCUUACUGGACAGAAACUGACGUUGAGGCUCGAAAGCGUGGGGAGCAAACAGGAUUAGAUACCCUGGUA